UGGACGUGGAGUCGGAGGCCGACUGGU
This 27-nucleotide small RNA is filed under the name Bombyx mori (domestic silkworm). RNAcentral describes it as "ovarian small RNA-34571". Lineage: Eukaryota; Metazoa; Arthropoda; Insecta; Lepidoptera; Bombycidae. The record is from RNAcentral.